Molecule: long non-coding RNA, 1239 nt
Organism: Esox lucius (northern pike)
Lineage: Eukaryota; Metazoa; Chordata; Actinopteri; Esociformes; Esocidae
Source: Ensembl
GGGUGGGGUUAGGAUGGGGGUGCAGGGUGAGGUUAAGGGGUUUUAGGGGCUGGGUGGUAGGAGUGGGGGGGGGGGGUUAAGGGGCUAGGUGGUUUGGUCUGAGUGUUAGGAGAGGGGGGGGUGCAGUGUGAGGUUAAGGGGUUUUAGGGGCUAGGUGGUUUGGUCUGGAGACAUGCUGAUGACCCCGUGGUGGCACUGGUGUGAGUCCCUGCUGCAGUGAAAUGCGUCACGUGACUAUGAGAGCGGUCAGGGGACUCCGGCAGGACUCUCCACCAGGGAGCAACGUGGAGGUGUGGGUCGUUCUCUUCCUCCUCUUUCUCGUCGUGUUCCUUGUAGUCCUCCUCCCCCACCCUUCUCUCCAGGAUAGAGAGGGGUCGGCCUGUGGAGGUGGGGCCUAUAUCCAGGCAGGAAGGAUGGGUGCCGACCCCUAGUUUCCCCGGUGACCCCUGGUGACUCCGUACAUCCGACCCACAGCAUUUGCUGCUCCUUAUGGAAGUCAGAUUGGAAUAAAGUAAAGUGGAAUAGAAUAGGACAAAAUAGAGUAAAAGGGAAUAAAAUAGAUUAGAAAUAAAGUAGAAUUAAAUAAACUAAAGUGGAAUGGGAUAAAACAGAAAGUGUUUGGGAGAAAUAGCGAGGGGGGGGCACUUACCCAUGUCUGUUGCCGUGGUAGAUAGAUUGUGAUCAUUCUAUCAACUCUUGAGUCUCGGAGAACUACAAACACAUAAAGGCACGGAGGAAUGAGGAAAUAGCUAGCGGCAAAAUUACCACAGGUUCAUGGUCAGGUUAUCUGGUGGAACCACAUCAAUGAGAUGCACAGCACAACUGCAGAGUGGGAAGACCUGUGUUGAGUGACACCGCUCCAGGGGCGCUGUUGGACUAUUUUCAGUGGGAGUGUGUUGUUUGUUUAUGUCUGUCUGGCACCACACAGUCUAGCUCUCCCCCUCGCUUAAGAGAUCGGUAUCUCCUCCUGCUCGUAGUUGUAGCCAAUCAGACUCCCCCAAAUCAACCCGCCCAUGGAUCACUGAUCAUGUACUCUAUGUCUGGCCAUUUGCUGCUAGCGUCCCUAACACAGAACAAUCUUGACAUCACUAACAUAAUAUGUAGCUCAACUAUGAUAACUGCUGGUCUGUUUCAACCUGUAAACCAUGAAGGCUGUUGUCACAUUUUCUAGAUGAAACCCCCCCACUGCUGAAUGAUAAUUGAUCAUGCUGUAAAACUGAAAGAAAAUGAAGAGCAAUC